Molecule: ribosomal RNA, 421 nt
Filed under: uncultured Bacteroidota bacterium
Lineage: Bacteria; Pseudomonadati; Bacteroidota
Description: bacterial SSU rRNA
Rfam family: Bacterial small subunit ribosomal RNA
Source: RNAcentral
GAGGAAUAUUGGUCAAUGGGCGCAAGCCUGAACCAGCCAUCCCGCGUGCAGGAAGACGGCCCUAUGGGUUGUAAACUGCUUUUCCAGGGGGAGAAUUUUUCUGUCGUGACAGGAAUUGACGGUACCCUGGGAAUAAGCAUCGGCUAACUCCGUGCCAGCAGCCGCGGUAAUACGGAGGAUGCGAGCGUUAUCCGGAUUUAUUGGGUUUAAAGGGUGCGUAGGCGGAUAGAUAAGUCAGUGGUGAAAACCUGCAGCUUAACUGUAGACUUGCCGUUGAUACUGUCAGUCUUGAGUAUGGUCAAGGUAGGCGGAAUGUGUAAUGUAGCGGUGAAAUGCUUAGAUAUUACACAGAACACCGAUUGCGAAGGCAGCUUACUGGGCCAUUACUGACGCUGAUGCACGAAAGCGUGGGGAUCGAACA